UACGUAGGGCGCAAGCGUUGUCCGGAAUUAUUGGGCGUAAAGAGCUCGUCGGCGGUCUGUUGCGUCCGCUGUGAAAACCCAGGGCUUAACCCUGGGCUUGCAGUGGAUACGGGCAGACUAGAGGCAGGUAGGGAAGAAUGGAAUUCCCGGUGUAGCGGUGAAAUGCGCAGAUAUCGGGAGGAACACCGGUGGCGAAGGCGGUUCUCUGGGCCUGACCUGACGCUGAGGAGCGAAAGCGUGGGGAGCGAACAGG
RNAcentral lists this ribosomal RNA (253 nucleotides) under uncultured bacterium. Its description in RNAcentral is "partial 16S ribosomal RNA". It matches the Rfam family "Bacterial small subunit ribosomal RNA", at positions 524 to 776 of the family's 1533-position model. The record is from RNAcentral.